GUGAUUGCUUCAGCAGCACAUAUAUUAAAAAUUGGAAUGAUACAGAGAGGAUAGCAUGGCCCCUGCACGAGAAUGACA
Molecule: small nuclear RNA, 78 nt
Filed under: Ictidomys tridecemlineatus (thirteen-lined ground squirrel)
Lineage: Eukaryota; Metazoa; Chordata; Mammalia; Rodentia; Sciuridae
Source: RNAcentral